CCUACGGGAGGCAGCAGUGGGGGAUAUUGCACAAUGGGGGAAACCCUGAUGCAGCGACGCCGCGUGUGGGAAGACGGUCCUCUGGAUUGUAAACCACUUUCCCCAGGGACAAAAAUGCCGUUCCCUGGGGAGACACCUCGGGCUACCUACGUGCCAGCAGCGCCGGUAAUCCGUAGGGACCGAGGGUUGCCCGGAAUUCCGGGGUGAAAGGGGAGCGUAGCCGGGGUGGCAGGUUGGGUGUCAACACCACCGGCUCACCUGGUAGUCGCACUCAAAACUGCAGCGCUGGAGUGAAGGAGAGGCAGGCGGAAUUCCUAGUGUAGCGGUGAAAUGCGUAGAUAUUAGGAGGAACACCAGUGGCGAAGGCGGCCUGCUGGGCUGUUACUGACGCUGAGGCUCGAAAGUGUGGGGAGCAAACAGGAUUAGAUACCCUGGUAGUC
This 440-nucleotide ribosomal RNA is filed under the name uncultured bacterium. RNAcentral's name for it is "partial 16S ribosomal RNA". It matches the Rfam family "Bacterial small subunit ribosomal RNA", at positions 338 to 795 of the family's 1533-position model. The record is from RNAcentral.